GUGGGGAAUCUUCCGCAAUGGACGAAAGUCUGACGGAGCAACGCCGCGUGAGUGAAGAAGGUUUUCGGAUCGUAAAGCUCUUUCGUUAGGGACGAACGUGCUCUUUGUGAAUAAUGAGGAGUAAUGACGGUACCUAAAUAAGAAGCCACGGCUAACUACGUGCCAGCAGCCGCGGUAAUACGUAGGUGACAAGCGUUGUCCGGAAUUAUUGGGCGUAAAGCGCGCGCAGGCGGGAUAUCAAGUCUGUCUUAAAAGUGCGAGGCUCAACCUCGUGAGGGGACAGAAACUGGUAUUCUUGAGUGUCGGAGAGGAAAGUGGAAUUCCAAGUGUAGCGGUGAAAUGCGUAGAGAUUUGGAAGAACACCAGUGGCGAAGGCGACUUUCUGGACGAUGUCUGACGCUGAGGCGCGAAAGCUAGGGGAGCGAACGGGAUUAGAAACCCUAGUAGUCC
This 450-nucleotide ribosomal RNA is filed under the name uncultured bacterium. RNAcentral describes it as "partial 16S ribosomal RNA". It matches the Rfam family "Bacterial small subunit ribosomal RNA", at positions 354 to 796 of the family's 1533-position model. The record is from RNAcentral.